This 71-nucleotide transfer RNA is filed under the name Symmachiella macrocystis. RNAcentral describes it as "Planctomycetes bacterium CA54 tRNA-Gln". It matches the Rfam family "tRNA". From Rfam's summary of the family: Transfer RNA (tRNA) molecules are approximately 80 nucleotides in length. Their secondary structure includes four short double-helical elements and three loops (D, anti-codon, and T loops). Lineage: Bacteria; Pseudomonadati; Planctomycetota; Planctomycetia; Planctomycetales; Planctomycetaceae. RNAcentral also lists the same sequence under 1 other name. The record is from RNAcentral.
UCCCCCCUGGUGUAAUGGCAACACAACAGGUUUUGGUCCUGUCGUUCCAGGUUCGAGUCCUGGGGGGGGAU